CAUAAACAUGCCUUGCAUACAUAUGCUACUUUUUUCCAAAAGUGUCUUCAUAAUAUCAUGGUGAAUAAAACACAAAGUUAUCUUUUUAAACAUAUUGAAUUCACGGAAGCCUUUUUUAUUCUGUAUUUUCUUUUUCAAUAGAUACCAAAAAUACAAUUAUUGUCAUGUCGGAGUCGGGACUUUUUUUUUUAAUAUUGAAAAGAAGUCUUUAUAUUUAAAAAGAAUGCCACCCUCUCAUCUAGCCUGGAGGAAAGAUGUUUUGGAGGCAUGAAAGACACACAUGAAAGUGAGAGGGAUUAGUGGGGGACUGUUCAGUGUAUACCUGAAAUAGUCCAUUUUAUUUUGCACUGGAAGAAGCUGGGGUUAAUACGAGCUCUGAGUGUACAAGUUUAAUGUAAAAUAAAGCAUCCUCAUCCUGCCCUUCUCAAGAGUGGCCCAACAUCAUUCUUAACUUAAGUAAACUCAAAGGGAGACAGUCCCAGGGACCUGUUUGGAGCUUCCGGGAUAGGUAGUUUAUCCACUGUCCCUCCAACAUAACGGUAGCUCUGAUUCCUGUAAAAGCGACAAUAUCGCCCUCUGUCAUGAUAAUUAGCAGUCAAAAGAGUCAUCCAUUUCUUUAUCAGCUCCAAAGAAGAAAGGGUAAAUGAUAAAGUAACAUCCUUGCCUAAAAUGGAUGAAAAUAAUGGCCAACUGCUUAUCUUUGUAGUGACUCAUUGCAUCAAGCUGACCUCUGAAUAGAGUAUGCAUAGGCUGUUUGUACAUUCUCCAUCAAAUGAUUAAGAAGUGAAAUGACAAUGACCAACCACUGUCCCUGACAUUUAUUAUAUAUGAACAGCAUUUAGGAGAUGAAAGACCAGGUAGCAGUGAAACAACUGUGAAGACGCAAGACUGAAAGCACCAACAGUGACAUUCAGCUGCUCAGUUAUGCCAGAAUAUGAUUAGUGCCCUCUCGUUUGAGACUUUAAUUUUAAUGUAGGCUCAAGACGGGAAAAGGCCACCAUCAUAUCAUGGUGAGAUGGAUAUUCAACUUGGAGUCAUAUGUCCUGGUUCUGAGUCGUUGCUCUGACAGUUAAAACUCGUUGAUCUUGAGCAAGUCAUGUAAUCUCCCAGAGUCUCAAUUUUCCCAUCUGUAAAUAGGAAAUAACAAGAAUUUCUCCUUCACUACUUUAGUUAGUUGUGUGGUUCAAUUGACAUAAUGAGUAUUGUAAAAGUAUUUCAUAAAAUGUAAAACAUCAUGCAGAUGUUUGCUACUAUCAUUGCAUUAAUCAUCAAUGACCUUACUUAGUCCAAAAUAGUGCUGCCCGGAUCAUGUCUUCACAACCUUUAAGUUCUGGCUUUGGAACAUCCCAAGUCCCCAUCGCCAGUAUAUAUUUACUGUAGAGCCCAAUAGUAGUCAUAUGACUUUAGCUUAAAGGUAAUUGCACAUACAUCUUUGCAGAUAUCUAUAAACAAAGAGUGGAGAGGAAAAUUGCCAAAAAGCUGGGGAGAGUCAAGUCUGCUAUUAAUGCAAAAAUCAUGACUUUUUGGUAAGGUCGAUAAUAAAGGGUUUUUAAAAGUUUUGGAAAAAUGGAGAUAUUGGAACCCUCAGGAAGCUUGUCACUAGGAGGGAAAAGUGCCCAAACAGUAGGUGAAAAAGGACGGCAGGGCACAAUGUGAGAGCCAUGAGAAGCUGCCAAGUGCUGCAAGUUGCCAACAGUGUGCAUGGAAGUUGUCAACAGUGUGCGUGGAAGUUCCCCUUGCUUUCUGGUAGAGCGUGGCGUAGAUGAUCAAAAAUCCCAUGUAAGGUAGGGGAAUGUUACUAAGUGUCUCAGAACUGAGGCCUUACCACCUUAGCAUCUUUAAUGGCUCCCAGAAUGCUCACUCUAGAGGUUACCAGCACCAUGUAUAAUUCUCGAGAACUCCCAUCUCUUCCACCUGCUUUGUCCUGCUCCAUACAUGAGGUCUUUUUGGUUCUAUAUUUGUUAAUAUUUGCAUUUUGGUUUCUGGUGCUCAGACUGCAACCCAGACAAUGCUGCCUUUGUGCUAUGGCUUUCUGGAUUGCAACCAUGAGCAUAAAGUUUCAUAUCCCAGUGCUCAGUUCAGGCCUGCCAGACCCACAGCAGUUUCCACAAAUGGCCACCACCACACACCCUCCACACCUGGGAAGAGAGAUCCUGCAGAGAUGUUUAUGAUGAUACAGGGUGGUAUCAUAAACUUGAUUAUGUAGGAGUUUACUCAGGACAGAAUGAAUCAUUUCCAUCAGUGAAACAGAGUUCCUGCUGUCCGCUUCUAGAUACCACCUGCAUGCCUUUGUCUGUGGACCCUUCCUUCAACUGAAAGCAAGAAGUGUAGCAUCUUCAGAUAUUUCUGUUGCUCUCCUGCCUCCCUCUUUCACUUAUAAGGACCCUUGUGAUUCCAUUGGGCCCACCUGGAAAUCCACUUUGGCCAUGUAAGGGUAGAGACAUUUGCUUAGAAUGAAAUGGAUUCCGAAAUAAUCACUUUCAUCUCCUAAAUGAGCCUACCCAGGAAGAAAAAGCUAUGAAGCCAUCAAUGCAACCCCCUCCCUGUUCCUCACCGAAGUAUUAAAACAAAAUGUUUGCAACCCAAGGACUUCAUUUCUGAGAGGCCUCUUCUUCUAGGUUCCAGGCACCGUGAAGAUACAAUGGCGACAAGAUAUUCCAGACUCUGUCCUCACAUAGUUUCAAGGCUAGUGAGAGAGACAGACAUUAAUCAAAUAAUAGAAGAAACAAAAAAAAUGAUUAUGAACUGAGAUCAGAAGUUCAGGGCUCUGCAGGAGCACAGAACAGGAGCCUCUCAGCUAUGCUGGGAUCUGAAGGUGUCUAACAGUGGUAUUGGAGACUGCGCGGCUCCUGAGCGAGGCUCCGGUAACAUCGAAGCAGAGGAAGCUUUGCUGCCUUCGGGGAUCAUCUUGUCAGUUAUGCAGCUUUCCAAUUUUACGGCUGAGAUCAAGAAUGAUUCCUUAAAGGCACAUGGGAAACACAAUGUGUCUUAGAAUGAAAUGUGGGAAAGUGGACGUGAAUUUGCUACAUGGCCAAUACUGUAGGGCUUUUCGCUGAGAUGGAGGUAGCUCUGUGCGGCAGUCCCGGAAGACUUUCACAAGAAGAGUUCAGACAGUAGAAAAUAAUCCUAAAUGAUUGUGCCAUGGGCUUCCAUUGAAAGACCCAUGGUCUGCUGCAAGCUCUUGGCCAGAAGAACCCGCCGUCAUCUUAUUGCUGUGUGGCUCCUGCCGUGUCGGAAAGGGCUGACGGGUCCUGGGGAACAUGCCUGGCAGUCUACUGCAGAGCAAUGGUGAAAAUAUGAAUCACUCCAUCUCCAGCACAACGUCUGGGAAGAAAGAAGGGGAAAAUGACUCACAGCCUGUUUGGAAUAUCAGGGGCCCAUAAGUGAGAAAUGAGGAGGGUCAGCACAGCAAAGUGUAUGUUUCUCACCGGGUGAAGGAUUUCCACGUAACAGGACUCACGGAAUGCAAAUGAAACUUGUACCUUAGAGAAGGGAACUUCUUUCUACUCCCCUAAACCUCUCAGUCGAAAACUUCAUUCUUCCAUUAAAAAAGAAUUGUGUUUUGUGAUUUAUAAAGUCUACUGCUUUUUCUUCAAGUUGAAUGUUAACGUUCUGCCUUGUGCCCUUAACUUAAUGGAUGUUCUCAAAACUGGCAGCUUUUCUUUCAUGCGGGAAGAAGGAAUAAUUCUGAAUUAAGAGCACUAAAAUAGGUUAAGGAUACAUUAUGUCAGAGGCUGUAGAUUGUUAACAAGCAAAGGAAGCACAAGUCAUAGGAUAUAAUACAAUUAAAGGCAACUGGGUAAGAUUGCCAGCCGUUCCAUCCCAAUGACUUCACCUGUUGAUGCCAGAGGUGACCCUUUCCAGUCUGUCUAAAAUUUGACAGGGUCCAAGGUGCUUUUCUAAUUUCUGAGUGAAUCACAAUUAGUGAGUAUAGUAGGUGCUGCGGGUGCCCCUCCUAUAUCUCAUUACCAGGCCCAUUUGCCCUUCUCCAGCUGUUGUGAGUUUUGGCUGCUAAUGAGCUACAGCUGCGCCCCCUCCAGAAAAUUGCUGAUGGCAGCUGUAUCUCCCAAGAGGUUAUGAUCCUCCAAUUAGGGGCAGCCAAUGAUUGAUGGAUAUGGGGCUACAAAUGGCUGGUCCCUUGCAUCAAAGGAGAGGUUCAUAAUUAAUUUUGUGGGAUGAUCCCAUGGAUCAGGUCAAGACUAGCCUUUAUAUGGGACCACAUCCUUGCUCAGCCCUUUCCUCUUCUGUCUCCUGCUUGUCAUACCCUCCCAUGAAGAGCUUUGCCUGAAGAGCACCCCUUCAAUAAACUUCAUGCACCAGAACUACUAUCUCAGGCUUGAUUCUAGGGUGUCCAGACCUACCACAGUGAGUUUGCCAAUAUAUUUUAACUUAUUUUGUCCUGAUGAGUUAAACAAUGCAAUAUCAUUGUUAACCAGAACUCCACUCUUGUUCUCUUUGAGGUCUGUUCUAUGGACCCUUCAUGAGCCAUUGUAACAGAAGAAGAAAAGUCCCUUCAGCUUAGUAGUGUUCUCUGUGCAGCCUUUAUGCAUCAGCCUACAUGGAAUAAGCAUGGUUGGCAAAGGAUCAAAGCCACAAAGGUUGGAAAUUUGAACUCAGUGACUGAUUCCUACUGCCUUCCUUACAAUUUUGGUAGUUCGUCUAGUAUUAACUCCAUUUAUAGCACUCCUUCUAAUAACUUGGCUUUUCAGGAUAGAAUGAUGUCCUGCCACCAUAGAAAUGAUUAUCAUGGCCUUAGUAUAUGGUAGCUAUCUGUGUGACAGAAAAGAUUUUCACCUGGAAUCAAAUAGUUCAUCCAAGUCUGAAAUGAUAUGUAUUGUCAGGGUCCUCUGUAAUUAGAAACAUGAUUGUGGAAAUGUCUGAAAAGUUGUACUGGUUUUAAGGAAAUUGGCUUAAAGCCCAUUCUAAUCUAGACAAAAAUUCUAUCAAAUUUGAAGGCUCCUUGUAUCGCUACCAGCUAGUGGUGUGAGGGUGGGCUGAUUCAGCAGGUGGAAGAAUGGUGAUUCUAGCUGACAGGUGCAGUCCUGGAGGAAAUGUCAGGUUGACCCUGCUGCUGAGAAAACCAGAGCAUACAGAGAGGUGAUGAAAAAGGACAUAGGGAGCAGAAAUAUUUUAAAGGCAUUAUUUCUGUUGGGUGGGGCAAGGAUACAUGAUCCCACAGUUGAAGUCUGACCCCUUCACAGACAUCAGAACUGUACUGUGAACCAAACACAAUGGCCAAAUAUGCUGACUGAUGCACCAAAUUGUAUAUUACUGAUUCUCAAUGCAAUAUUUUGGUCUAAAGAAAUUAGCUCUUUGUUUCCACCAUGUUAUUGCUUAUUUAUAAUCAAUAUCUCCUAAUUAAAUCUAAAACAGUCUUUCUAAAGCAAGCAGGUGCUUGCUAUUUUCUGUUGAGCUAUCUGAUGUUCAUUUUCUUCAUGUUCUUAAGUGAUUUUUUUCUGGAUUUGGAGAAGGUGAAGUUGUUAGCAUUUAGUCUUUGAAUGGGAUGCACCCAAAGGAAGGUCAGUACUGAAAAGUCAGGUAAUUCUUUUUAAGGUUACUUAAUUUAUGGCUUAUUUGUGAAAAACACAGAAUUUCACAUUCUAAGACUAUUUCCCAGGGAUUCCAUUUCAAACAAAAAAGCUUAGAACUUGCCGUUCAUAACUAAGAAAAUGGAGGUAAUGAUUGUUGCCACUAACGUUCUCAUUCAAAAUUAUUUCCCACUUGCCGCAUGAUUAUCAUACCACUUGAAAGGGUUGGAUAACACAGGAAGCCUCUCUGAAAGUCAGGCUCUUCAUAUCCUGUUUAAUAGGAGGGAAGCAAGACCUGGUGAGUCAAAAGAAUUACUUCAGAAAAUUGGAAUUUUUCCCGAUAACCCUCAUGCAUUUGAAACUAUCUCUGUCUAAAUGAAAAAUCUGUUACAUUUUUGAAAACAAGGAUGAUGGCAUUGACAAAAUGUUUGUCUUUAAGUUUUAUUAUCAGGCAAAAGUUGGGAAAGUAAAAAUAAAUUUCAAAUUUUACAGUCUAAUGUGCCGUGUUAUUGAAAUGUUUUAUUCUUUUAUGUUUAUAAGAUUUGUUGAGAGGAAAUUCAAUGGAAUUUGAAAUUUGAAAAUCUCAUGAGAAUAAAAUGUUGAUUUUUAU
This 6138-nucleotide long non-coding RNA is filed under the name Equus asinus (donkey). RNAcentral's name for it is "lncRNA (ENSEASG00005033604.1)". Lineage: Eukaryota; Metazoa; Chordata; Mammalia; Perissodactyla; Equidae. The record is from RNAcentral.